RNAcentral lists this ribosomal RNA (253 nucleotides) under uncultured bacterium. RNAcentral describes it as "partial 16S ribosomal RNA". It matches the Rfam family "Bacterial small subunit ribosomal RNA", at positions 524 to 776 of the family's 1533-position model. The record is from RNAcentral.
UACGUAGGGUGCAAGCGUUGUCCGGAAUUAUUGGGCGUAAAGGGCUCGUAGGCGGUCCAUCGCGUCGGGAGUGAAAGCCCGGGGCUUAACCCCGGGUCUGCAUUCGAUACGGGCUGGCUAGAGUGUGGUAGGGGAGAUCGGAAUUCCUGGUGUAGCGGUGAAAUGCGCAGAUAUCAGGAGGAACACCGGUGGCGAAGGCGGAUCUCUGGGCCAUUACUGACGCUGAGGAGCGAAAGCGUGGGGAGCGAACAGG